UCUAAAAUCCGUAAUGCUUUCAAACCUAUUUCUAUUCUUAGAAAUAGGGAGGAAAUCAUUACGGAUCCGGCUAUUAUUGCGCUGCAUACAGUGGAAUAUUUCAAAAAUCUUUUUUCUACAAAUGAUUCUUUUUUGCAGGAUGGUUCUUUGGUGGAGGGAAUUAUUCCUAGUUCGGUGAAUUUUGAGACAGAUGAGAUGCUUACUCCUCUUCUCUCUUUGGAGGAAAUCAAAGUUGUUGUCUUCUCUCUUAAUAAUGAUAGUGUCCCUGGUCCGGACGGUUUCAGAGCUUCUUUCUAUCAAAUCUAUCGGAAUAUUAUCAAGCUUGAGGUUUCAGAGGUGGUCAUUCAUUUUUUUCUCUUCUGGGUGGUUACCUCAUGA
Molecule: non-coding RNA, 378 nt
Organism: Vicia faba (fava bean)
Lineage: Eukaryota; Viridiplantae; Streptophyta; Magnoliopsida; Fabales; Fabaceae
Source: the annotation of a GenBank genome assembly